UCCCUGGUGAUCUAGUGGCUAGGACUCGGCACUUUCAUUGCUGCAGCCCAGGUUCAAUACCUGGUUUGGGAA
This 72-nucleotide transfer RNA is filed under the name Sus scrofa (pig). It matches the Rfam family "tRNA". From Rfam's summary of the family: Transfer RNA (tRNA) molecules are approximately 80 nucleotides in length. Their secondary structure includes four short double-helical elements and three loops (D, anti-codon, and T loops). The record is from Rfam by way of RNAcentral. Lineage: Eukaryota; Metazoa; Chordata; Mammalia; Artiodactyla; Suidae.